UAAAAUGUUCUGCCUGCAGGGCGAGGUAAAGCUCAGCACUAAGUAGUCGGCAAAGAGAAAGCUGGCUCCCAGCUAGCUGCUGGGUCAACUUCCCUGUGAAAGGGAGGGGAGACGUUGCGGACACCUGGGGGACAUCCUGGUGCUAAGGGCAGAGCAUGUGGGACAUGGUUCAUAAAAUCCCAGAUUGCGAAACCGAACAGGGGAGGCAGGAAGGGAAUUUUGGUGACCAGGUUUUCGUCGGCUCACCUGGCUGCUUCCUUGGAGCUAUGUGGUUUCCCUGGCAAUGAGUCGUUACCAGUCAACAUUACACAGCAGAGUUGCUAACCGCAGCAGUCACCCAGGACCGGCUCCUUUGGCUUCGAACAUUAACCCCUGGCCAACCACUCAGUUUCUUUCCAUCUUGGUAAGGAAUAGCCAUGGGUCCCGGGGUUGGGACUAGACUCUAGUCUAUCCUCCUGCCCCUCAGGGGAAACCACACCUAGACCAAGCCAGACAAAUGAGGAGCUCAGGAACUCACGAGGAUGGAGAAUGUGUUUGCUUCUGGAGAGCUCACCGGUUUGCAGCCACCUAGAAAAAAUACUUAACGCUACAAGCACGGGAAUCUGAUGGAGAAGGACUUCAAGCAAAACUGGAUCUCUAAAGGGGGAAGCAAAUGAAUUGCAGAGUGCACAGAGCUCCAGACUUGGAGUCAGAAGAGUUGAACUUGGAUCCUGCCUCAGAUAAAUUUCUGACCCAACCCAGAACAAGUUACAACCUGUCUCAGUUCACCCAUCUCACAAGUUUAUUAAUUGCCUUCUUUAAAGGACUUUGGAAACCAGUAUCUAUGACAAGCCAAGUUGGAGCCAGAGACACCAAAUAAGGGGAGGAAAAGGUGACAGGACAAAGAACAAUGGACAAAGGACUACUUCGUGGGACAGAGCCUUGGUGUACAGACUGGUUGGGGGAAGGACUGUGUUUGGGGAAGAGGAUGAAAACAAGUUUGGUAAUGUUAACUGCCAGCUCUCCAAAAACAGACCCAGAGGAAUGAUUCAUGCCAAAACAAAUCUUUGCAAAUGAAAGCCUGUAUUGACAAUAACUAAAAAUAGAUAUGUAAACCUAUUCACCCCAAAUUAGCUCACAGGGCUGCCACCUUCUCUCUCAGUCCUCUUUUAUCAUGUUGGAAACUGUACUGGGGCUAGGGGUGAUUUAGCUAUGAUAUGCUGUAAUGCUGUCCACAAGAGUGGCUUUUGUAAUUUUUAAAGGGAAAAGAGCAGCUAUAAAAUUAUGAGACAGCUAAAAUAAAUCUCUAAAAGAUAUCUUAGGGGCUUCUAAACAAGCCACUCCAAGCAGUGACAUUUUAAAGAAUCAAAUUUCUGUUAGUUGCUCUGUCAGCAUAGGUAUGUCCCAUGGAGAUACCAGCCCUUGUUUUAGUUAUGAGGUUGACCUCUUUGUUAGAGAUCUACCGCUCUGCAGGAAACUGGACACAAAAUAAUGCAAAACCCAGGAAACAAAAAGUCAAUCAGGAGAAAACAUAGAUAGUAUAUACUUCCAGGAGCGCCAUCAGGACGAUCUUGAAAGGUUGCCCAUAGAGUGAAACAUUGUAUGAUAAAGGCUUUACUCCAGAUUCACUUAAGAAGAGAGAUGUUGUUGCAUGGCAGGCCACACUUAUUGCACCAGGGCAUGACGUGGGACUCCUGAAAGUGGGUGGCUAUCUGCUGAGGGUUUCCUUUGGAUUAGCAGGAGGUAGGGAACCAGUGGGGGGGGGGAAAUCUGCAGCAUGGAGUUCUCUCUGGAGGUGUCACCAUGGAAAAAGCAGGGGGUGCAACUGGGAACCCACCGCUCCCUGGUAUUAAGAAGCACACAGUUCAACCCAAGAUAGCUGAAGGGAUUUCAGGAUCCCUGCCUGAUGGGGCUUCUGAAGCUCAUUACGUGGGACAAGGCUGCAGCUCCACAGAUGUAUCUUUCACUUGAUUUAAGAUUUAAGUCGUUUAGAGGGCAGCUGGGUGGCUCAGUGGAUUGAGAGCUAGCCCUAGAGACAGGAGGUCCUAGGUUCAAAUGUGGCCUCAGACACUUCCCAGCUGUGUGACCCUGGGCAAGUCACUUGACCCUCAUUGCCUAGCCCUUACCACUCUUCUGCCUUGGAGCCAAUACACAGUAUUGACUCCAAGACAAAGAUUUAAGUCGUUUUUCUGAAGGAUCCCUUGACUACACCAUGAAACUAAAAACUUAAUCCAGAAAAUGAAAUAACCUUAAUGACAAUGACUUCAAAGGGAUAAACUAGGAAACCAUAAAAUAAAAGGAAGUACACAUAUCCUACAAUAUAUAACAUAGGCAAGUAGAAACACAAAUAACUAUAAACGACUAUAUAUUUGCAAUGGGACCAGAAAAAGGGUGAGAGCUGUUGCUAGGGAGGCCAGAUCACCUUCAGGUAACAAACACCUAUUAGGUGCAAUCACUGGCCAGUUAGGGAAGAUACUAAAAGGAAUGUUCUGAUCCUUCUGCUUAGGGAGUUUCAGUUCUUACUUAGGCCACAUGCAAAUUUGGGGGGAGUGGAAUGAAGAGAAAGGGAUUUUGGAGAGAAAUGUUUUGAGGGUUUUUCUAUCUACCUGAUUCUCCUAUGAUAAAAGUUAAUUUAAUGUUAAUCUAAUCUGGGGCCACAAUAAUUUGUUGUUGUUUUUUACUGGGAGGAAAAAAGUUAUUUCUCUUGUUAAAGAAUGUACCCCUAACAGAUUCCUGUGAUGCUUUUUGGUGGGGUGGAGAUAUGCAAACUGAAUGCCAGCUCUGGCAGGUCCUAUAUAUAAGCUGGAAAGACUUCCAGUCUGAUUCAGUGAGAUGGUGAUGAAGAUCUUAACCACAGCUAUUCUCAAAGACCAUCUGCUACUAUGUCAUAUAGAAAAGCUGAAUUCUGUCUUGAUGGAGAGAAUACCCACACUCACACAUUAUAGAUCCUUGAAGUACUAUAGUCUAAAUUAAGCACAAAAAGUCUGUUGGGCUAUGUGCCUAGAGGCUCUCAACUCAAACACUGUUUAUUGUAUUCAGGCCUGGAAAUAACUGACAUUUUAGGAGAGUGUUUUUAGAACCUUAUUUGAGCCUUUCAUAAUUUUGUGAAUUAAAUAUUUCAGGUAUAUUUUCCCCCAUUUUUACAGAUGAAUUAAAUGAAAUAUGGAAAGAUUAUGACUUGCCCAUGGUCACAACUAGUUAUGGGUCAAAGAAAAUAUCUGAACACAGGUCUUCCUGUUCAGUUCAACAUCCCAGCCAAUGUUGGCUGGCUUACCUCUUAACAUAUUAGAAAGUAAAUGCUAAAUACGCUAGCCAUUCCUAUUUAAAACAUUAAAAUGCAUAGGAACAAAUGGAGCCUUUCUUAAAAUAAAUAGUAUCUAUCUACAACCAAAAGCAAGCAUUAUCUGUAAUGGGGAUAAACUAGAACCAUUUCCAAUAACAUCAGGGUAAAGCAAGAAGGUCCAUUAUCAUCAUUAUUCUAGAAUGUACUAGAAAUGCUAGUUAUAACAAAAAGAAAAAUAAA
Molecule: long non-coding RNA, 3502 nt
Organism: Monodelphis domestica (gray short-tailed opossum)
Lineage: Eukaryota; Metazoa; Chordata; Mammalia; Didelphimorphia; Didelphidae
Source: RefSeq, a predicted model, not a curated record